Molecule: ribosomal RNA, 497 nt
Filed under: uncultured bacterium
Lineage: Bacteria
Description: partial 16S ribosomal RNA
Rfam family: Bacterial small subunit ribosomal RNA
Source: RNAcentral
GAUGAACGCUGGCGGCGUGCCUAAUACAUGCAAGUCGAGCGAACAGACGAGUACUUUGCUCCUCUGACGUUAGCGGCGCACGGGUGAGUAACAUGUGGAUAACCCCUCUAUAAGACUGGGACAAGUCCGGAACACCGGUGCUAAUACCGGCUAAUAUAUUGAACCACAUGGUUCCAUACUGGAAGACGGCUUUGCUGUUACUUAUAGACUGAUUGGCGCCGGAUUAGCUAGUUGGUAAGGUAACGGCUUACCAAGGCAACGAUCAGUAGCCGACCUGAGAGGGUGAUCAGCCACACUGGAACUGAGACACGGUCCAGACUCCUACGGGAGGCAGCAGUGGGGAAUCUUGGGCAAUGGGCGAAAGCCUGACGGAGCAACGCCGCGUGAGUGAAGAAGGUCUUCGGGUUGUAAAGCUCUGUUAUUCGGAAAGAAAAAAUGUGUAAGUAUCUAGGCACGGCUUGACGGUACCGGAUCAGAAAGCCCCGGCUAACUACGUG